GUCUUCUAAAUGCCUGGGUAAAUCCGUAUGGCUUAACCAUACCGAAUUCCGGGUAGACUGUUAGACUUUGAGACCGGGAGAAGCUAGAGGUACUCCUGGGGUAGAGGUGAAAUUCUGUAAUCCUAGGGGGACGACCAGUGGCGAAGGCGUCUAGCUAGAACGGGUCUGACGGUGAGGGACGAAGCCCUGGGGCGCAAACGGGAUUAGAUACCCCGGUAGUCCAGGGUGUAAACGCUGCUUGCUUGAUGUUAGUCUGGCUCCGAGCCAGAUUAGUGUCGGAGAGAAGUUGUUAAGCAAGCUGCCUGGGAAGUACGGCCGCAAGACUGAAACUUAAAGGAAUUGGCGGGGGAGCACAGCAACGGGUGGAGCGUGCGGUUUAAUUGGAUUCAACGCCGGAAAGCUCACCGGAGGCGACGGUUACAUGAAGGCCAAGCUGAUGACUUUGCCUGAUUUUCCGAGAGGUGGUGCAUGGCCGCCGUCAGUUCGUACCGUAAGGCGUUCUGUUAAGUCAGACAACGAACGAGACCCUCAUCUUUAAUUGCUACUGGUAAGUUCGCUUAUCAGGCACAUUAACGAAACCGCUGGCGAUAAGUCAGAGGAAGGCGAGGGCAACGGUAGGUCAGUAUGCCCUGAAUCCUCCGGGCUACACGCGCGUACAAAGGCUAGGACAAUGAGAUUCGACACCGAAAGGUGAAGGUAACCUCGAAACCUAGUUAUAGUUCGGAUCGAGGGUUGAAACUCACCCUCGUGAAGCUGGAAUCCGUAGUAAUCGCGGA
Molecule: ribosomal RNA, 776 nt
Filed under: uncultured archaeon
Lineage: Archaea
Description: bacterial SSU rRNA
Rfam family: Archaeal small subunit ribosomal RNA
Source: RNAcentral